This 403-nucleotide ribosomal RNA is filed under the name uncultured bacterium. RNAcentral describes it as "partial 16S ribosomal RNA". It matches the Rfam family "Bacterial small subunit ribosomal RNA", at positions 28 to 526 of the family's 1533-position model. The record is from RNAcentral.
GACGAACGCUGGCGGCGUGCCUAAUACAUGCAAGUCGAACGCAGUGGGGCCGGGUGCGUAACUCGUGGGUAACCUCCCAUCAGAGGGGAUACCACUUGGAGCCAGGUGCUAAACCGAUACUGAUGGAUGCACCCGCGGUGCAUUAGCUAGUUGGUGAGGUACCGGCGCAGCAAGGCCACGAUGCAUAGCGGACCUGAGAGGGUGAUCGGCCACACGGGGACUUGGACACGGCCCAGACUCCGACGGUAGGCAGCAGUAGGGAAGCUUCGGCAAGGGACGAAAGUCUGACCGAGCAACGCCGCGGGAGUGAAGAAGGUUUUCGGAUCGUAAAACUCUGUUGUUAGAGAAGCGGUAUCUAACCAGAAAGCCACGGCUAACUACGUGCCAGCAGCCGCGGUAAUAC